CGCAUCUGUGCAUGCAGCAUAUCAAUAAGCGGAGGAAAAGAAACUAACAAGGAUUCCCCUAGUAACGGCGAGUGAAGCGGGAAGAGCUCAAAUUUGAAAUCUUAAAGGGUUUCCCUUUACGAAUUGUAGUUUAAAGAAGUGUUUUCUGUUGAGGUUUUGGUAAAAGUUCUUUGGAAUAGGACAUCAUAGAGGGUGAGAAUCCCGUAUUUGACCUUUACUUUCAACUUUGUGAUACACUUUCAAAGAGUCGGAUUGUUUGGGAAUGCAGUCCAAAAUGGGUGGUAAAUUUCAUCUAAAGCUAAAUAUUGGCGAGAGACCGAUAGCGAACAAGUACCGUGAGGGAAAGAUGAAAGAACUUUGAAAAGAGAGCUAAACAGUACGUGAAAUUGUCAAAAGGGAAGCGUUUGACACCAGUGUUGUUUUUCUGAAAAUCAAUUAAAGAACUGUUUAUGCUAAGCUUGUUUAGACUUUAUCAGCUAACUGUUUAGUUUUGAGCUUUUCUUUAACUGCACUUUUCAGUUAACAAGUCAACAUCAAUUUCUUUUGCUGUAAAAAAGCUUGAGGAAGGUGGCUUGAGAUUCGUCUUAAGUGUUUAUAGCCUCUUGCCUAUGCAGUCGGAGAGAUUGAGGUCUGCAGCGUAGAUCCUUCGGGGCUAAAUGCAUUUGUGCUAAGUUAUAGCAUUUUAUAGACAACUUGUUGACUAUGAUUUGUCUUGUAGCUUACUCGCUUAUGUUAUUUUACCUACGCUUAGGAUGUUGAACGCGCACAGAGUCUC
This 775-nucleotide ribosomal RNA is filed under the name uncultured Neocallimastigales. Its description in RNAcentral is "partial large subunit ribosomal RNA". It matches the Rfam family "Eukaryotic large subunit ribosomal RNA", at positions 26 to 634 of the family's 3401-position model. The record is from RNAcentral. Lineage: Eukaryota; Fungi; Neocallimastigomycota; Neocallimastigomycetes; Neocallimastigales.